GACGAACGCUGGCGGCGUGCUUAACACAUGCAAGUCGAACGAUGAAGAAAAGAAUCGAAGCUUCGGCAGAAAUUCAUUUCGGAUUAGUGGCAGACGGGUGAGUAACGCGUGAGCAACCUACCUCUUACAAAGGGAUAGCCUCGGGAAACCGGGAUUAAUACCAUAUAACAUUGCGACGAAGCAUUUCGAUGCAAUCAAAGCUACGGCGGUAAGAGAUGGGCUCGCGUCCCAUUAACCGGAUGGUGAGGUAACGGCUCACCAUAGUGACGAUGGGUAACCGGCCUGGGAGGGUGAACGGUCACACUGGAACUGAGACACGGUCCAGACUCCUACGGGAGGCAGCAGUGGGGAAUAUUGCACAAUGGAGGGAACUCUGAUGCAGCGACGCCGCGUGAGUGAUGAAGGAAUUCGUUUCGUAAAACUCUGUUCUAUGGGAAGAAAAGGACUGUACCAUAGGAGAAAGCUCCGGCUAAAUACGU
Molecule: ribosomal RNA, 479 nt
Filed under: uncultured bacterium
Lineage: Bacteria
Description: partial 16S ribosomal RNA
Rfam family: Bacterial small subunit ribosomal RNA
Source: RNAcentral